RNAcentral lists this long non-coding RNA (2663 nucleotides) under Mus musculus (house mouse). Its description in RNAcentral is "long non-coding RNA chr11:88127290-88129953". The record is from RNAcentral. Lineage: Eukaryota; Metazoa; Chordata; Mammalia; Rodentia; Muridae.
GUGAUGGAGCUUGGGAAAGGGAGGGCAGAGACAGGCAAGUCUCCUUUCUAGGCCAGUGUGUGAAAGAGGGGUUGGGGGUUUGUGUUAAGACAGGGUCUUACUAGGUAACACAGGCUGACACCCAGUGCUUUCUCUUGCCUGCUUCCUUGACUUUGGGAGUGGCCUUUUUAGUCCUUGCCAGUAUCUUGUCAAAAAUGUCCUGGAAAGAGGCCAUGUUGUAGAACACCCUGAUGACAUCAUGAAGAAUCUUCUAGAGAACUUGCUUUUAUCACUUUCUUUUUUCAUUUGGAGAAUUGAUUAAAAUAUAAUUACAUUACUUUCCUACUUCUCUUUUCUUUUCUCCAGCCCUUCCAAUGACCGUUCCCAACCCCUCUCAAAAUAAUGGCUCCUUUCCUUUGGAUAUUAUUGUUACAUGCACACACACAUAAAUACAACCUGCUGGGUCUAUUUGGUGUGUUGCUUGUGUGUAUAUGAUUUGAAUGCUGAUCACUUGGUAUUAGAUAACUAAUCAGGGGGCCCAUUCCUGAGAGAGACUAAUUCUCCUUCUCUCAGAAGUCAUCAGUUGCUUGGAGUUCUUUGUCUAGGGUGGGGACCCUGUGACAUUUUUCCAUUCUGAGUUAGCAUGUCCAUUGGUAUUGACUUUGUUCAGUUCUUGUUUAGGCAGCCAUAUUGUUGAGGUAUAAAGGGUGUGGCUUGGUUGUUGGUUCUAAGAAACACGAUCUCACAGCAGAGUUCCUGGUCCUCUGGCUCUCUGGCUCUUACAUUCUUCCCACCAUCUCUUCUGUGAUGUUCCACGAGCCUUAGGUCCAGGAGUAGUAGUGUAGAUGUAUCUGUUAGUGUUGGGAUCCUCAUGGUGGGUUGAUCUCUGUGUUAUGACCAGUUGUGGUUUUCACUACAGAGAGAAGUUUCUCUGGUCAGAAUGAGAGCUACACUCUGUAGGUAUAAGGUUGUAGGGUUAUAGGAAUUAUACUGGUCCAGGAAAGUAGUGGUAGUAGGUUCUCCUCUAAGAUUCAUGACCUCAUUAGCCUGGCGUAGUUGAUUAAGUUUCUAGUAGCAGGCAUGAGUUCCCUCCUGUUGAGCAGGCUUCAGUCCAAUUAGAUAGCUAUGGGUCACUGUCUGAUGGGAGUGUCUAUUUAGGCUGCCGUGUGGUCAUUAUUGUGGUUUAUAAGCUGGAUCAGGCUAUUGAUUGCCUCUCUCCCCUGGCAGCAUGCAUAACGCCUUCUGAUAGUCUGAAAGCUAGACCAUACCACAGAGAGAGACUUUCAAGGUAGAUCCAGCGUGACUGACUCUUGUAUCUGAAGCAUGUGGCGUCUUCAGCCUAGGACCUUACGGUCAACCUUUGAAAGGCAACCAAAGGCCACAGCAACAGAAACCUUCGCUCCUUUGGGAGUCACGUGGUUCAUCCUGACCAACAGCUUGAGUUGGAGUUUCUCGUGCCUGGGGUUCUUGUUAAGGAGUGUUUUGCUCUUGUGGGAAGCACUGUCAGUCCAGGUAGUAUAACUUAAAUUAUGCUACGUAUAUGUGUACGUAUUGUACACUUAUAGGUAUUAUAUAUACCUUUAGGUAAAUAUAAAAUACGAUUCUUUGAAGCUUUAUCAAACAUCCUUAGUGCAUUUGUCCCUCUUCCCUUAGCACAGAGGGCAACAUUUUUUUUUUUCAAAUCAGAAUCUCACUGUGCAACCCAGCCUGUCCUUGAACUCAUCCCCCGCCUCCUCCUCUUCCCCCUCCCCCUCCCCCUGCUUUUCCGGUGCUGGGAUUACAGGUGUACACUAGUUAACAAGAACCUCUCUUCUCCAGUUCUCUAUUUGACUUCAUUCCUCCCCAGGAUUGAGGGACCAGGACAUUGCUUUUUUUCUCACUCUAGGAACUACCUAGACCAGCUAGCUAGGUCUUUAAGAUCUCGGGAAAGAAAUUCUCUAGCCUCCCCAUGAUCCAAAGGCUCCUAACCUGGCCCCCAGAAUAGACUCCUGCCCCUGUGAUGAAGACAUGCAGCUGGACCAGUCAGAUGAAGCUCAGGCCCCUCUGCUCCAGAUUGGCUUCUUACUGUCCCUGAGGCAGUCACAGGCAUAGUGUGCAGGCACCGAAGAACAUGGGGUCCAGGCCUUUUUUGUUGGCAAUAUCAGGUUUCUCUUAGGAGGUCCAGCCCCCCAUAUUUAGACCUCAUUGGAGACAGCUGCUGGAGUUUCUGGUCUUUUGACUUUGUGACUUCCUCACAUUUGCAGAUGGCUGAGGGACCUGCCAUUCUUGCUGGCCUGGGGUGUGUCCCCAGGAGGUCUUUAAGCCCCAUUUGGUGAAACUUGUCUCUUUUAUGUUCUUGUGCAGUGGCAGGCCUUCAGCCCCUGUGUGGGGCAAAGCUACACGGACUACACGGUUGGUUGGUUGGUUGGUUGGUUGGUUGGUUGGUUGGUUGGUGGAGGAGUCUUUUGCCAAACUCCUUUAGAGCAUUUGAAAAGGAAUAUCAGGUCUCCUGUUGUUCCUCUGAGAACAGUGUCUCUGGAAGGUAUCCAACAAGCCUCAGGGCCCCCAAGCCUCUGCAAUGCCCUUCAUGCCCCUCAGCCCCCUGCUGUAGACAACUGCCUGGAGGUUGGUAGUAUCCCAGCAGGUCUUAGCUGAUUUAAGUUAGAAUGAGGUCUGCUUAGCUCUGUAUAGUUACUAGGCUCAUU